AGUGAACGCUGGCGGUAGGCCUAACACAUGCAAGUCGAACGGCAGCACAGUAAGAGCUUGCUCUUACGGGUGGCGAGUGGCGGACGGGUGAGGAAUACAUCGGAAUCUACUUUUUCGUGGGGGAUAACGUAGGGAAACUUACGCUAAUACCGCAUACGACCUACGGGUGAAAGCAGGGGAUCUUCGGACCUUGCGCGAUUGAAUGAGCCGAUGUCGGAUUAGCUAGUUGGCGGGGUAAAGGCCCACCAAGGCGACGAUCCGUAGCUGGUCUGAGAGGAUGAACAGCGACAGUGGAACUGAGACACGGUACAGGGUCCGACGGGAGGCAGGAGUGGGGAAUGGGGGACAAUGGGCGCAAGCCUGAACCAGCCAUCACGGGCGGGUGAAGAAGGCCUGCGGGUUGUAGAGCGGUUUUGUUGUGAAAGAAAGGCAGCAGCGUAGUACCGGGCUGUGGUGACGGUACCGGAAGAAGAAGCACCGGCUAACUACGUG
This 492-nucleotide ribosomal RNA is filed under the name uncultured bacterium. Its description in RNAcentral is "partial 16S ribosomal RNA". It matches the Rfam family "Bacterial small subunit ribosomal RNA", at positions 30 to 507 of the family's 1533-position model. The record is from RNAcentral.